Molecule: long non-coding RNA, 867 nt
Filed under: Salvia miltiorrhiza (redroot sage)
Lineage: Eukaryota; Viridiplantae; Streptophyta; Magnoliopsida; Lamiales; Lamiaceae
Description: long non-coding RNA (SMIL_LNC002625)
Source: RNAcentral
UCUUCUCAUACAUUCAUUUUCCCUUCUUGUUGGGAUUGGGUUCAACUUCCACAGCGGCCGAAUCAUCUGUUUCACUAUCUUCAUCUUCUACCUUGCUGUCUGAAAUUUUGUCAUCAUCCUUCUCUUCAGAGUCGACAACUACACUGUCAUCGUUCUUCGCCAUGAGCAAGCUUGUUAGCGCUCCAGUUGAGGCCGCCUCGCCUCCAUGCUCUUCAAAAGCUCCCCUGUGUCUGCCAUGGCUUUAGAAUCAUACUCACUGCAAUCAAGGAUUAAUGUUUGGAGUUAAACAAUAACAGAGAGUUCAAGUUUGAUGGUACGUAACUAACAAUAAUGAAGUAAAAUUAAUAGCUUUUGAAGAAAAAAUCAUAUAAACAGAACAAUAGACACAUGUUUUUUCGAAACAGAAACAAUAGACACAUGCUUCAGAGAUUGAAAUUUAGUCCUACAGAAAUUAUAUUAAUGGAUCUCACAUAUUCUCAUGUCAUCUUGAAAAUUGAAUUUAUUUGAUUCUGAUAGAAAAUCUAUAACAAAACUCAAAAUGGCUCAAUAGGAGCUUUACAGUUACUCCAGUAGGCCAAUCUAAGCUCAAGCUUGGAUUCAACUUAGCUAUUCAAUUAGCCAUUCAUUUAUGAAGCUUAUAUGCCCCUCCAAAUCCACCUGAAAAGUAGACAAUCUUCAUCAACACAUGUUUCUUUCUUGUCUUCAUCAUUUGUCUUCUUUAAUAAUUACACCAUGAAAACAUAUAUAUUGAUACAACUUAUUUAACCCCCAACACCAUUUCAUCAAAUUCAAGCUAGUAUGCCUCAACAUUCAAACACAAGAAAUAAGCAUUCAAGAAAUGGAAAAAGUUGUCUACCUCUUUUUCUU